RNAcentral lists this long non-coding RNA (382 nucleotides) under Arachis ipaensis. RNAcentral describes it as "long non-coding RNA (AIPA_LNC000783)". Lineage: Eukaryota; Viridiplantae; Streptophyta; Magnoliopsida; Fabales; Fabaceae. The record is from RNAcentral.
GCCACUCCGAAAUCGUAGACUCAUCAUCCUCUUCCUCAUUACUUGGGUGAACCUCUUCCACCCACACUACUACUUUGAAUUCAUUAUCACUUGUGUGAACCUCUUCCUCUUUCUCUUCCUCUUUGAAUUCAUCAUUACUUAGGUGAACCUCUUCCACCCACACUACUUCUUUGAAUUCAUUAUCACUUGUGUGAACCUCUUCCUCUUUCUCUUCCUCUUUGAAUUCAUCAUUACUUAGGUGAACCUCUUCCACCCACACUACUUCUUUGAAUUCAUUAUCACUUGUGUGAACCUCUUCCACCCACACUACUACUUUGAAUUCAUUAUCAUUUGUGUGAACCUCUUUCUCUUCCUCUUUGAAUUCAUCAUUACUUGGGUGAAC